RNAcentral lists this unclassified non-coding RNA (599 nucleotides) under Zea mays. Its description in RNAcentral is "misc RNA Zm00001eb335760". Lineage: Eukaryota; Viridiplantae; Streptophyta; Magnoliopsida; Poales; Poaceae. The record is from RNAcentral.
CGCUGGUAGAUCGCUUCCCUAUCAUCAGAGAAGAAAAUUUCAUGCUCUCCUCUAGGCGUUGGACGAGGUUCGGGGGUGCUGGUGGUAAUUCCUUGAAGCACCUCGUGGAACUUGAGCUCAGAGGUCUGCCGGUGCAUGCGUGGGAGACUUCGGUGGUGCAACAAUUGAUCAACCCCCAUGCGUGCAUUUCCCAGGUUCUGCCCGACACACUGGAAAUCCGGAGUUUGGAAGUCUUUCGAUGCCUUGCCUGGUGCUGCGACCCUGAACGUAUCCCAUCUAUGAAAGACCUCUGGAUCACUGAACCAGACCAGGCUUCUGCUGCUGAAGGGAAGAAGGCCCUGGUGUACCCGGUGCAAAUUCGUUGGGUCCCUGCUGAUUUGAGCCUCUUGCCUGGGGCUCCACUGCCGCCGGUUGGAGGUGACGAUCAGGACAAAUCUGAUACCCCCCCUCCACGGAGAAGAUGUGGUGACAACCUUCCACGCACUCAACAUGAUGCAAUCAAUGAUGUUCCUGGCAACAAGACCCACACUCAACGGCGGCCGGUUCAUGACCGAUUGGGACCCUUGAGGCGCUCGGAUUCCCCCAGGGAAUUGAGCCAU